AGACAGCAGUAGCCACGGGAAUACGUAGGGUGCAAGCGUUAAUCGGAAUUACUGGGCGUAAAGCGUGCGCAGGCGGUUAUAUAAGACAGAUGUGAAAUCCCCGGGCUCAACCUGGGAACUGCAUUUGUGACUGUAUAGCUAGAGUACGGCAGAGGGGGAUGGAAUUCCGCGUGUAGCAGUGAAAUGCGUAGAUAUGCGGAGGAACACCGAUGGCGAAGGCAAUCCCCUGGGCCUGUACUGACGCUCAUGCACGAAAGCGUGGGGAGCAAACAGGAUUAGAUACCCGCGUAGUCCCUGUCUCUUAUAC
RNAcentral lists this ribosomal RNA (307 nucleotides) under uncultured bacterium. RNAcentral's name for it is "partial 16S ribosomal RNA". It matches the Rfam family "Bacterial small subunit ribosomal RNA", at positions 506 to 807 of the family's 1533-position model. The record is from RNAcentral.